Molecule: ribosomal RNA, 303 nt
Filed under: uncultured bacterium
Lineage: Bacteria
Description: partial 16S ribosomal RNA
Rfam family: Bacterial small subunit ribosomal RNA
Source: RNAcentral
AGCAGUCGCCGCGGUAAUACGAAGGGGGCUAGCGUUGUUCGGAAUUACUGGGCGUAAAGCGCACGUAGGCGGAUAUUUAAGUCAGGGGUGAAAUCCCGCAGCUCAACUGCGGAACUGCCUUUGAUACUGGGUAUCUUGAGUAUGGAAGAGGUUAGUGGAAUUGCGAGUGUAGAGGUGAAAUUCGUAGAUAUUCGCAGGAACACCAGUGGCGAAGGCGGCUAACUGGUCCAUAACUGACGCUGAGGUGCGAAAGCGUGGGGAGCAAACAGGAUUAGAUACCCCCGUAGUCUGUCUCUUAUACAC